RNAcentral lists this ribosomal RNA (720 nucleotides) under uncultured bacterium. RNAcentral's name for it is "bacterial SSU rRNA". It matches the Rfam family "Bacterial small subunit ribosomal RNA", at positions 67 to 818 of the family's 1533-position model. The record is from RNAcentral.
UCUACUGAAUUCUCUUCGGAGAUAGUAAGGUGGCGGACGGGUGAGUAACACGUAAAGACUUGCCCUGCAGUCUGGGACAACUAUUGGAAACGAUAGCUAAUACCGGAUAUUGCUGCAUGGCGAAAGCUGUAUGCGCUGCAGGAGAGCUUUGCGUCCCAUUAGUUAGUUGGUGAGGUAACGGCUCACCAAGACCGCGAUGGGUAGCCGGCCUGAGAGGGUGAACGGCCACAAGGGGACUGAGACACGGCCCUUACUCCUACGGGAGGCAGCAGUGGGGAAUAUUGGACAAUGGACCAAAGUCUGAUCCAGCAAUUCUGUGUGCACGAUGACGGUCUUAGGAUUGUAAAGUGCUUUCAAUCGGGAAAAAGAAAGUGAUGGUACCGAUAGAAGAAGCGACGGCUAAAUACGUGCCAGCAGCCGCGGUAAUACGUAUGUCGCAAGCGUUAUCCGGAUUUAUUGGGCGUAAAGCGCGUCUAGGCGGUCUGGUAAGUCUGAUGUGGAAAUGCGGGGCUCAACUCCGUAUUGCGUUGGAAACUGCCAGACUAGAGUACUGGAGAGGUGGGCGGAACUACAAGUGUAGAGGUGAAAUUCGUAGAUAUUUGUAGGAAUGCCGAUAGAGAAGUCAGCUCACUGGACAGAUACUGACGCUGAAGCGCGAAAGCAUGGGGAGCAAACAGGAUUAGAUACCCUGGUAGUCCAUGCCGUANACGAUGAUUACUA